GUGCCAGCAGCCGCGGUAAUACAGAGGGUGCGAGCGUUGUUCGGAAUUACUGGGCGUAAAGCGCGCGCAGGCGGCCUUUUAAGUCUCGUGAUGAAAUGCCGGGGCUCAACCCCGUGCCCGCCGGAGAUACUGGGAGGCUGGAGACGAGUAGAGGCAAGCGGAAUUCCGGGUGUAGCGGUGGAAUGCGUAGAGAUCCGGAAGAACACCGGAGGCGAAGGCGGCUUGCUGGGCUCUGUCUGACGCUGAGGCGCGAAAGCGUGGGGAGCGAACAGGAUUAGAAACCCUUGUAGUCC
This 293-nucleotide ribosomal RNA is filed under the name uncultured bacterium. RNAcentral describes it as "partial 16S ribosomal RNA". It matches the Rfam family "Bacterial small subunit ribosomal RNA", at positions 505 to 796 of the family's 1533-position model. The record is from RNAcentral.